RNAcentral lists this ribosomal RNA (1382 nucleotides) under metagenome. RNAcentral describes it as "bacterial LSU rRNA". It matches the Rfam family "Bacterial large subunit ribosomal RNA", at positions 1564 to 2925 of the family's 2925-position model. The record is from RNAcentral.
CCUUGCGUAGCCGUUGAGGCGAAUUCAGUGAUCCUAUGCUGCCAAGAAAAGCCUCUAGUGAGUUGGUACACGGCCCGUACCCCAAACCGACACAGGUGGUCAGGUAGAGAAUACUAAGGCGAUCGAGUGAACUGUGGUUAAGGAACUCGGCAAAUUACCCCCGUAACUUCGGGAGAAGGGGGACCACGAUUGGUGAUGGGCUUUACGCUCGGAGCUGGUGGUGGUCGCAGAGACCAGAGAGAAGCGACUGUUUACUAAAAACACAGGUCCGUGCGAAGUCGUAAGACGAUGUAUACGGACUGACGCCUGCCCGGUGCUGGAAGGUUAAGAGGACCGGUUAAUCAACUUUGUUGGUGAAGCUGAGAAUUUAAGCCCCAGUAAACGGCGGUGGUAACUAUAACCAUCCUAAGGUAGCGAAAUUCCUUGUCGGGUAAGUUCCGACCUGCACGAAUGGCGUAACGACUUCUCUGCUGUCUCAACCACAGGCUCGGCGAAAUUGCAGUACGAGUAAAGAUGCUCGUUACGCGCGGCAGGACGAAAAGACCCCGGGACCUUCACUAUAGCUUGGUAUUGGUGUUCGGUGCGGUUUGUGUAGGAUAGGUGGGAGACUGUGAAGCUGGCACGCUAGUGUUGGUGGAGUCGUUGUUGAAAUACCACUCUGAUCGUAUUGGGCUUCUAACCUCGGACCAUGAUCUGGUUCAGGGACAGUGCCUGGUGGGUAGUUUAACUGGGGCGGUUGCCUCCUAAAAUGUAACGGAGGCGCCCAAAGGUUCCCUCAGCCUGGAUGGCAAUCAGGUGUUGAGUGUAAGUGCACAAGGGAGCUUGACUGUGAGACGUACAUGUCGAGCAGGGACGAAAGUCGGGACUAGUGAUCCGGCACCGGCAAGUGGAAGCGGUGUCGCUCAACGGAUAAAAGGUACCCCGGGGAUAACAGGCUGAUCUUCCCCAAGAGUCCAUAUCGACGGGAUGGUUUGGCACCUCGAUGUCGGCUCGUCGCAUCCUGGGGCUGGAGUAGGUCCCAAGGGUUGGGCUGUUCGCCCAUUAAAGCGGCACGCGAGCUGGGUUUAGAACGUCGUGAGACAGUUCGGUCUCUAUCCGCCGCGCGCGUCUAGAAACUUGAAGAAACCUGUCCCUAGUACGAGAGGACCGGGACGGACGAACCUCUGGUGUGCCAGUUGUUCCGCCAGGAGCACUGCUGGUUAGCUACGUUCGGAAGGGAUAACCGCUGAAAGCAUCUAAGCGGGAAGCCUGUUCCAAGAUGAGGUUUCUCACUCACCCUUUGGGUGGGGUAAGGCCCCCUACAGACUAUGGGGUUGAUAGGCCAGAACUGUAAGCACAGUAAUGUGUUCAGGUGACUGGUACUAAUAGGCCGAGGACUUACC